AUUGAACGCUGGCGGCAUGCCUUACACAUGCAAGUCGAACGGUAACAGGUUAAGCUGACGCGAGGCGAACGGGUGAGUAAUGUAUCGGUACGUGCCCAGUCGUGUGGCAUAACUGCUCGAAAGAGCAGCUAAUACCGCAUACGACCUGAGGGUGAAACCGGGGAAUCGCAAGACCUCGCGCGAUUGUAGCAGCCGAUAUCGGAUAAGUUAGUUGGCGAGGUAAAGGCUCACCAAGCCGACGAUCUGUAGCUGGGCUGAGAGGACGACCAGCCACACUGGGGUUGAAACACGGCCCAGACCCCUACGGGAGGCAGCAGUGGGGAAUUUUGGCCAAUGGGCGCAAGCCUGAUCCAGCAAUGCCGCGUGAGGGAAGAAGGCCUUCGGGUUGUAAACCGCUUUUGUCAGGGAAGACAAGGUUCUGGCUAAUAACUGGGACUCAUGACGGUAACUGAAGAAUAAGCACCGGCUAACUACGUG
This 477-nucleotide ribosomal RNA is filed under the name uncultured bacterium. Its description in RNAcentral is "partial 16S ribosomal RNA". It matches the Rfam family "Bacterial small subunit ribosomal RNA", at positions 30 to 507 of the family's 1533-position model. The record is from RNAcentral.